GUGUUCCCAACAUGCUUCAGCCGAAUCGUCUUUAUAAUUUGCAACCACCACAUUCACAUGAUAACAAUCAGGAGCAGCAGAUGCUUUACCAGCUGUUGCAUGAGAUGUCUAAAAACGGACCAAGUGUGCAACAUCAACAGCCUUUUCAGGUCAAAGUGGUGGUAACGGUAAUGCUGAGAGAAACCCAACUGCCUCCACUCCCAACAUCUCUGGAGGAGGAUGAGUUAGGUCCGCAACAACAGUUUUAAAGCAGCUACAAAUAACAACCUUCAUUUUUCAGAAAUCGGUUUCAGAACUAUCUCACAAUUUCUCAGAAUAUAGUCUUGAAAAGCAGCAUAUAUAUGGUGCCUUGUAAAAUCCCUACGGAACCAAGGCAUUGUUACGUUGACUUGACAUAGAGAAAGAGUUUUUAGGCUUACUUCUCUCACGUAGGUUGGUUUGGUCUUUGUAUAGAAACUAGACAUAUGUGACCAGUCAAGGAAAUUGUGAUUUGUUGUAACCCAUAUAAGCAUUUUAGCACCUUUUUUUUCUUAUUUUGGUGAUUGUAUGAUGAAUUCUUAGAUUAUAACAUUUUCAAGUAAUCUUAGGGGUGAUUAGUUGGUUUAUAACAAGUGUUUAUAGUUUCAAUUUAUACUUACAAAUCAUAAAAAUUAACUCAUACUUUAUUUAGGUUUUAAAACUACAAAAUAACUGUAUAAACCCUAUUUUCUAUAACAUUUUUUAAUAAAUUGUAAAAAUAUAUUGUUAGGUAAAAUUUCCACCGUUAUGCCCCAACCAAUCAUCUACUUAUUAUUUCUAUGCUUUUUAUGGCAAUAUGUUUAUAGAAAAUAGUUUUAAGGGUUAUUGACUACUGAAGUUUAGUGGAUUCCAAAAGGAAAAUUACAUCUUAUGACUAAAAAAUAAAGUGUAAUUAAGAAUGUAACUAAAAAAAUAAAAAGUCUCUAAUAUUUCUAAAAUAUAUACUAUAUUAUCCUUACUUAUCGGUUGAAAAGAAAAAAAACAUAUUUUCUUUCAUUAGCAAUCACCAACACCGCCUCCUCCAUAAUAAUAUCAACCACCACUUCUUCACCAACCACAUCUUUCUUUGUAACCACUAUCACCUUUUCGUAAUCACAAUCACCUCUUCCGUAAUCACCUGGCCACCACCAUCAUAGCCACCGCAGUCACGACCACCAUGAAAAGACAAUUAAUUGUUCUGAAAAGAGAAAGUUAGUUGCUAGUCGCCAAAAAAAUAUAGCCAUCUUCCUCGAUGAUGACGAUCAAACGAGGGGAGAUGAAAAUCUAGGUGAAUCAUGUGAGAAUUCUAGUGAUUAAUUAUUUUACGGCUCAACAAGCGACAGUGAAAAUCAGAAUUUAUGCAGUAUAUUCUAUUUUAUAUUACUCAUCUACAUAAAAUAGAAAUGUAACUUUGCAAUGUAUCCUCCUUCCCCUCCUGCUCUUUUGUCUCUAAUAAUUUUUAUCUUUCAUAAUAAUUAUUAAAGAUAAUAUAGUUACUAUUCUAUUUUACUGCCCAAAUUUAAUAUACUAUUCUCUUUUGUUGUAUUCAAUUAUAUUUGGAAUUUAUAGAAUAGAAUGUAGUUGAUAAUAUCUAUUUUUCCCUCUUUUCCUAUCUUCAUCUUCUCCUCAUCAUCGCCCUCUUCCUCCUCUUUCCUCCUCCUCCUUCCUCCUCCUCCUUUUUCUCUUCCUUUGCUUCUUCAUCCUUCUACUCCAUAUAAUCGGAUCCAUUAGGUUUAAACUUUCUUCUUGUAUAAAGAUUAUUUUUCUAUGUACAUGCAUCUUGUCAUCCACCAUUAACAUGGCCAUCACCACCACAACAGUUACCUCUGUUACAAAAAACCACAUCUUCCUUUAUAUUCACAAUCGCCGCUUCCUCCAAUCACCACAGUCAUCGUUUCUUCGAAGUAGAGGCAACUUUAUGGGUUGAGGCGCAAACUACUGAUUUGAGGAUACAAGGAGAUGUUUAUCUUGUUGAACAAGAUCACCAAGAUAAUAUUGCGGGUUGGUGUUAUCUAGAUGGCUCAUGGAAGGAACUUGAUAAAUUUUUGGGUCAAGGAUGGUUUUCUUUUACAGGGGAGACAUCUAGUAAGAUCAUGGGAUUGAUGACAAUACGUCACAACCUAUCACCUUUACAUGCUGAAUGUAAAGCCUUGAUAUGAGUUAUGGAAUGCAUGAAGAUUCUACAGUUCACUUAGGUAAUGUUUGCAACAAAAUGUUCUCAAUUGGUGAAGAUAAUGUCUACACCGACUGAAUGGCCAGUUUUUGCACCCCUUUUGGACGAAAUACAACAAUGUAAGGCGUUUUUUCUUCAUUUCUCACUCCAGCAUAUUUUCAAAGCAAAAAAUAUAAUGGCAGACAAACUUGUAUGAAGUGCUCAAAACUGCCUUUCAGCUGUGUACUAUGUUGGUUCUUCAACUCCAGUUUGAACUUCUGAUCUGGCUUCAAAUAUAUGAUAGAUAUUAUAUUGCUA
Long non-coding RNA from Brassica napus (rape), 2467 nucleotides. RefSeq lists it as uncharacterized. The transcript is spliced from 2 exons. The record is from RefSeq and is a predicted model, not a curated record. NCBI's taxonomy places the organism in Eukaryota, Viridiplantae, Streptophyta, Magnoliopsida, Brassicales, Brassicaceae.